Molecule: ribosomal RNA, 119 nt
Filed under: Pteropus alecto (black flying fox)
Lineage: Eukaryota; Metazoa; Chordata; Mammalia; Chiroptera; Pteropodidae
Source: RNAcentral
UUCUAUGGCCAUGCUACCCUGAACAAGCCUGAUCUCACCUGAUCUUCGAAGCUAAGCAGAGUUGAGUCUGAUUAGUACUUGGAGGGGAGACCACCUAGGAAGACCAAGUGUUGUAGGCA